This 484-nucleotide ribosomal RNA is filed under the name uncultured bacterium. Its description in RNAcentral is "partial 16S ribosomal RNA". It matches the Rfam family "Bacterial small subunit ribosomal RNA", at positions 28 to 507 of the family's 1533-position model. The record is from RNAcentral.
AUUGAACGCUGGCGGCAUGCUUUACACAUGCAAGUCGAACGGCAGCGCGGGCUUCGGCCUGGCGGCGAGUGGCGAACGGGUGAGUAAUGCAUCGGAACGUGCCCAGUAGUGGGGGAUAGCCCGGCGAAAGCCGGAUUAAUACCGCAUACGACCUGAGGGUGAAAGCGGGGGACCGAAAGGCCUCGCGCUAUUGGAGCGGCCGAUGUCGGAUUAGCUAGUUGGUGGGGUAAAGGCUUACCAAGGCGACGAGCCGUAGCUGGUCGGAGAGGACGACCAGCCACACUGGGACUGGGACACGGCCCAGACUCCUACGGGAGGCAGCAGUGGGGAAUUUUGGACAAUGGGGGCAACCCUGAUCCAGCCAUGCCGCGUGCGGGAAGAAGGCCUUCGGGUUGUAAACCGCUUUUGUUCGGGAAGAAAUCCUCUGGGCUAAUACCCCGGGGGGAUGACGGUACCGGAAGAAUAAGCACCGGCUAACUACGUG